Molecule: small RNA, 52 nt
Filed under: Methyloligella halotolerans
Lineage: Bacteria; Pseudomonadati; Pseudomonadota; Alphaproteobacteria; Hyphomicrobiales; Hyphomicrobiaceae
Description: ffh sRNA
Rfam family: ffh sRNA
Source: Rfam by way of RNAcentral
GGGCAGGGGGGUCAACUUCCGUCAGCGCGAUGCGCCCACGGAAGCAAUUCCG